This 253-nucleotide ribosomal RNA is filed under the name uncultured bacterium. RNAcentral's name for it is "partial 16S ribosomal RNA". It matches the Rfam family "Bacterial small subunit ribosomal RNA", at positions 524 to 776 of the family's 1533-position model. The record is from RNAcentral.
UACGUAGGUGACCAGCGUUGUCCGGAUUUACUGGGCGUAAAGAGCGCGCAGGCGGUCGUUCAAGUCGAGUGUGAAAGCCCCCGGCUCAACUGGGGAGGGUCACUCGAUACUGAUCGACUUGAAGGCAGGAGAGGGAAGCGGAAUUCCCGGUGUAGUGGUGAAAUGCGUAGAUAUCGGGAGGAACACCAGUGGCGAAGGCGGCGAUCUGGGAAGAUACUGACGCUGAGGUGCGAAAGCGUGGGGAGCAAACAGG